Nicotiana tabacum (common tobacco) is the source of this 5442-nucleotide long non-coding RNA. RefSeq lists it as uncharacterized. The record is from RefSeq and is a predicted model, not a curated record. Lineage: Eukaryota; Viridiplantae; Streptophyta; Magnoliopsida; Solanales; Solanaceae.
UAUAUAUAUAUAUAUAUAUAUAUAUAUACACACACAUCUCUAUCUAUCUGUGUGGAGGAGUUUCCAUUUGUUGCGGCGGUCUCUAAUUCGCUUGGUGCAGGUCGGGAACUGACUCACCGGUGACGCUGUCCGCGCCGGAAUCGGUGGCGUUAGUUUCGUUGAUAUUUUGUUUGCAUUUAUCGAUAUUUAGAGAGCUCUCUUUAGGACUUAUUUGUUAGUAAUUUGUUUUGUUGAAAUUAACUUGAUGUAUGUGUAGAUAAGUAGAGAGUGUUUACCCCCGGUUGGUUAAGUAAUAGAUAUGAAGAGAGUUCAUUUUUUUUUUUGUUUUUAAUAAAUUAGUUAUGUAUGAAAGUGCGCCUCGUCUAUGGCUUAAGUUUGUUCCCGCCUUGCAUCAACUGAAUCGGUGACCGCGGUGAAUUUGAUUAUGUUUGGAUCGAUCUAUUCUCUCGCUACAUGAGGUUUGUUUUUCAUUCAUUUUGAUUCAAAUAUUUGCAUAUAUUUUUAUCUGUAUCGUGUGCGUGUGUUUGUUUUUUCACUCUUCUCUCUUUAUUUUUUUUAAUAUUUCUGUUGUGUAACUGAUUGGAUUUAUCUGGAUCUAGCUGUAUCUAUUGCUGUGUGCAGGCUCGUGAUCCCAGCUGUGUUUAUUUGUCCUUCGGAUGAUCGAAGAGUUUGGCUGUGCUUGUAUAAUAAAUGUGCAAUUUUUUUUCUUCUUCCGUUUUAAUGCAAUUUUUGAAUUGAUGAAAUUUCAUUAAAAAUAAGAGUUGCGGGGAACAGACAUAAUGAUUUAAAAAUCCUCCUGUUGAGAUUGCCACCAUGGAUUAAUCGUGCAAUUUUGAUGUGUAAGAGGAGGUUGUGCUUCAAUAGCGAAUGUUCAAAGUGAACAAUUUUAGUCAUGUUGACGAAUCAUAGAUUUGAGUUAUGGAUUAAUGUUGGAAUAUCACGUGUUUUCAAAUGAAGAAAAGUGACUCUUGAAUUGUCAUUGACGAAUUAGAGAAUUUCUAUUUUUAUUUAUAUUUAUCUGGAUUUAAGAGAUACUAGUGCUGAAUGAUGGAUAUUUAAGUUUGAAAUUUUGUAUUUUCUUUAUGCCAUUGAUAAAUCGUAAAUUGGAGUUUGAACACCAUAAGUUUUCUUGUUCCAUCUGUUUCAAAUGACACCUGACACAGCAUUAAUGUAGCUUCUGGCCUAUUAAUACAGUAAUCUAGAUAAGAUAUGAAAUGUAGACCCAGAAGGUAAAUUAUGUUGUGGUCGAAUGUGCAGUCUGCACCGUAACUACAAACGAAUUCAAAUUGAUGGUGCAUUUUUUAGUUAACAUUGCACACACAAUUUUUUGGAUGCUUUAAUGGCAUUAACUGCCUCCAUCUACGCCUUGUCAUCACCUUCUUUGGUUAAGUUCACAGAGGGAAAUAUAAUUUGACAAUUUCUCCAAGUCUUAGUUAAUGUUUUAUAUGAGAGUUUGUCAUUCUAAUUUUAGUUGAAAUUCAGUAUUUGCUGUUGUGUUUGAAGGGUCUUAAUAACCCAAUAUCGAUUUGAGGGCUGAGGGACAAUUGAAGAGCUUCCAACUGCUCGUUCAUUUGUUUUGUGCUCAUUUAAGUUUGUUUACAUAGUAACCUAAUAAAAUAAAAAUUGCAUUCUUAUCACAAGUGAGAAGUUUUAUAUGUGAGGACAGCCUGUCAGGUGUGUUUGAUUGAUGUAAUAGUCAUAUUGAGGAAUUCAUGUUGGGGUUUUCAACGCCAUUUACUCAAUCGAGUUGAGGAGAAAGAUAAUUUGGAGGUGCCAGAGUUUAGAGUAAUCCAUGGAGGCAGGAACAACAAAUAUGAGUUGCUUAGUGUUUGAGAGAAACUAGUGUUUGUAACGUACUGGCCUACAAGUUUUCAGUUGGAGAGUUUUGGGUACAUAUUCUUUUACAGUGGGUUAGUUGGUGUCUCUUAACCAAUGGUUAGUGUCUUGAAGUUGAAUCCAGCAAAUUUAUAUAUGCCAAUUUAGUAAUUUACCAAUUUGUGUUUAUUUGUUCUAUGUUGCAUCCUCAAUUGCCAAAGCAUCCGUCUUAACUACUAAUAGAAUAGAUGAAUUAUAUCAAAUAUAUACUCUUGGUAAUCUCAUGAUUAAGGGAUGAUCUAAAUUUUUCGUUUUGUCCUCAUGCUUCUUUUUUCUGUUUGUAAACGUCAUUUAUGUUCGUCACUCGUCAAAACUAAUAUGAAGCUUGACAUGUUUAAGGUAAUGUAGUAGGAUAACUAAGCUGCAGGCUGUAACAUAUUGGUAUCAGCUGCCUUCUUGUUAUGGGUAGAACUAGAACCUGUAGAGGGAAUAGACGGCGUGGUUGACAGCAAGAUUCCAGGAUGCAAAACAUCUCUGGCAGAACACAGUGUUUUGGGCUAGGUUUUUAUCGUAAAGUUUGUGUUACAGAAUACACAAAGAAGAUAUCAGAUGCAACUAGCCUCUACCUUUGCCAAAGGUAGAUUGAUUUUUAUUUUCUCAGUGUAUUGGAAGUCAAGUAAAAAAGACUUGUCUUAUGAUCCAUGGAAAUAAAAAUGCUGGUGCCUGGCAAUUUCUUAUUUGUUAUUUUCUUUAUGAAUCGGGUACUACAAUAAUGAGUUUACGUUGGUGAUUUGAUUGGAAGUCUUUGAUGCUUCUUUGGUUUUAUGAUGUUGCCUGUAUUCUUAGAAAUUUGCUAGUUAGAUUCCCCUAGUAAAGGGUGUUCCAGGAAUGCAGAGACUUUUCAGCAUCUCCAUUUUCAUUUUAAAAAUUUAGCUCAUGUAACCCAUGGAAACAUGGGUUAGCAGUGAAUUGUAGAACACUCGUGUAUCUUUUGUUGGAAAACAGCACUUCAAUGUAAGAACACAUCCAGCCUCUCCUUUAUCGCCUGUUCAGCUUACUCUACCUCUUAGUCUCGUUUUCUCACCAACUUGUGCCAUCCUAAGACCUAAGGUUUCUUUCCUCUUUUUGCCAAAUGGCACUAGACUUUUCUUUACUUCACAUAACCUGAACAAAAUUUCUACUUCCUUAUCCUCCCCCACUACACCCGGCUUAAUGUCCCUGUUUUCAAAUAGUGGCUCCCGCUAAACUAGCUGUUACUUAUUUCUUACUAAUUCCCUGGUUUCUCAACCUGCAUCAAUGCCUCUGUUUAGUGACUAAACCAGCUGUCACAACAAGCUCUUUUGCCUCUAUUCUAUCUCCUUCAUCAUUAAGGUGGUAUUACGUGUACAAAUUAAUGUAGUAGCUUUUUGUCUUGUGUGGCAUGGGAGGAAGUUGCAGCCCGUACACCUUCAUAUUUUUCCAAUUGUCAAUAUUUUUACCAUCUAUAUUACUUUUGCUAGUCAUGGUGCUUAAAAAUGCUGCCCAGAAUGUUGUAAUCUGUUAUAUUCUGAUCGGUACUGGGAUGAUGUUUUCAUAUUGAGCAUUGUCCUUGUAUUGGGUGUGAAGUUAGAAGUCUAGCAACGAUAACCGAUAGCAAAUAAAAUGUUGAAGGAUCUUUGGGCAGAAGACAAAGCAUGACAUGAGAAGUGUGCAUGGCUUUAUAAUAGUGGAUUGCAAUGUGCAGCAAGGGAAGGGAUUUUGUUGCAUGCCGUUUCAUGUGUAGUUAUAGCCAGCUGUGGUGUAUUAGUUACUUACUAAAUACUUAGUAAUUAAUUGUAGUUAGCUUUUAUGAAUGUAUUGCAUGAGGUGUGGUUGUUUGUAGCCCUAUAAAACAACCCGUUUCAGUUCCCAUUAUAGGCAUAUUUGGCAAUACUAUCUUUCUACCUUCCAUUUUCAUUCUUGGAUAGCUAAUAAUCCCCGAGUUAAUCCCUACAAUUUCCUUCUUGAGCACUGCUGUUUGUGGAUGAUUCAUUAUACCGGCAUCAUCUGUUAUCAGAGCAAGAAUUUACUUGGCCAUAAUUUAUGGUGAAAACAAACAAAAAUUACAGAUAAGGCAGCCAUGGAAAUGAAGACAUUCAAGGAGCUGCAGAGAGAUUCUUCAAUGAACUGAAGUCAAGGCAAGAUAAAUUGGUGGGAUCCGCAAAGGUGAUGGACAAAGGAAAGGAUAACAUUGGGCAUGCCUGCCCCUGGUACCAACCUAUGAAUGGGUUCAAUUCAAAUACCAAACCUCACUUCGCCUCGAAUUUCCUAAAUUCUCAGGAACCGACCUCAAUUCCUGGUUAUACAAGGUAGACCAAAUUUUCUUUGAUUGAUGACUGUCAUCUUUGUUUCAAAAGCAAAUGUAGUUACACUACUUUUAUGGAGAUUCCAUCCAGCAGCAUCAAGCUUACUGUUGUGGGAAAAUGCAUCUUUACGUGAGAGGUUUAUGUCCUGGCUCUUGUUGAAAGGUUAGAGUUAAACAGGAGGAUCACAUGGCUGAGCUCAAACAGCUCAAGCAGACACAGAGGGCGUAAUGCAUUAUCAAGCUUCGUUUAAUAGUAUAUAACAGCGCAUCCCAAUCCAAAUUAUUCAAGAAGCAAACAUCAUUCCUCUCUGCUCCUAACAGAAGGUACACUUGACUUUCCACUCGUAUGACUCUUACUAUUGUCGAAAGUGUGAUAGAAGGUCCUAAGAAUUAUAUCAUUUUUCCUAUGAAUCCUUUACUCCUGAGAAAAAACGUAUGAUGCAUAAAUAGUUACAUAUAUAACUCUUAAGAAAUGUCGUAUGCAGUCUCAUAAGACAAGCAUUGCAGACAAAUUUAUGAAAAUUUCUGGUUUCAGAGUUAUGAAUAUUCUCAUAAUCCUUUCUUGUCUUAUGAAAAUUUCUUGUUUAUCUUAGAUUACAGUUUGGUUCCUUUCAAUGAUAACUAUCUCAAUUCAUUAAAAAUUUAUGCUUAGGUCAUGGUGAUCCUAUAAAAGUUCAUACCAUACCAUCCUCUCAAGCAACUCAAACCGUUGGUAAAUUUUAUGUUAUGUAAUAUUUCCGUAUAAGGUAUUACUCUUCUAAGAUCUACGAACAAUGAAUUGCAAAGAAACCUAAAGAUGACAACUAAAACAAACAGAAACAGUAGAUAUCCUUAGAAUAUGACAUAAAAAGGCUUUGGUAAAUAAUUGAAUAAUUUAAUAGAGUUGAACCUAGUCUUUCUUGUCCAUAUUGGAAUAUUCUUUGACCUAGCUAAUGGAGCAUUUGCCUGCAGAACAAUCCAAGAGCUGAAGCAUCAUAUGAAUAUUAAGGAAUCUGCUCAAAUUCUGUACCGACACCAUCCCAAACAAAAAUCUAUGCAUCAAAUUCGUUUCUUCUUUGUCAAUGGAUGCUGAAUUUCAGCUGUCUCUUCUUUGUUUAUCCUUGAGUUCAUCCCAUUUGGUGCUGGAAAAAGGAUAUAUAUAUAUAUAUGUCAUUUUGGUGUAGCAAAUAUUGAGCUUCCUCUUGCCAUUUUGAUUGGAAACUUCCUUAUGGCAUGAAACAUGGAUAUGACACAGGAAUUUCGUUUGACUGUGGGCAGAAAACUAUUGUAGCUUUCAUAAUAGAUACUAGUAUGACUUUUCGUUU